This 245-nucleotide unclassified non-coding RNA is filed under the name plant metagenome. RNAcentral's name for it is "partial contains small subunit ribosomal RNA, internal transcribed spacer 1, and 5.8S ribosomal RNA". The record is from RNAcentral.
GAUCCGUUGGUGAACCAGCGGAGGGAUCAUUACCGAGUUUACAACUCCCAAACCCAAUGUGAACGUUACCAAACUGUUGCCUCGGCGGGGUCACGCCCCGGGUGCGUCGCAGCCCCGGAACCAGGCGCCCGCCGGAGGAACCAACCAAACUCUUUCUGUAGUCCCCUCGCGGACGUUAUUUCUUACAGCUCUGAGCAAAAAUUCAAAAUGAAUCAAAACUUUCAACAACGGAUCUCUUGGUUCUG